Molecule: transfer RNA, 77 nt
Filed under: Clostridiales bacterium
Lineage: Bacteria; Bacillati; Bacillota; Clostridia; Eubacteriales
Also listed under: 1 other name
Description: tRNA-Met
Source: RNAcentral
GGCGGCGUAACUCAGUUGGCUAGAGUAGUCGGUUCAUACCCGGCCUGUCAUCCGUUCGAGUCGGAUCGCCGCUACCA